GACGAACGCUGGCGGCGUGCUUAACACAUGCAAGUCACGGGGGCCCGCAAGGGCAACCGGCGAACGGGUGCGUAACACGUGAGCAACCUGCCUAUCUGCGGGGGGAUAGCCGGCCCAACGGCCGGGUAAUACCGCAUACGUUCACGAGGGGACAUCCCCUUGUGAGGAAAACUCCGGUGCAGAUAGAGGGGCUCGCGGCCUAUCAGCUAGUUGGUGAGGUAACGGCUCACCAAGGCGACGACGGGAGCUGGUCUGAGAGGAUGGCCAGCCACAUUGGGACUGCGACACGGCCCAGACUCCUACGGGAGGCAGCAGUGGGGAAUAUUGCGCAAUGGACGAAAGUCUGACGCAGCGACGCCGCGUGUGGGAUGAAGCUCUUCGGGGUGUAAACCACUGUUGCCCGGGAAGAAUCUCCUGAUUCAUCAGGAUUGACGGUACCGGGUGAGGAAGCACCGGCUAACUCUGUGCCAGCAGCAGCCGCCGC
RNAcentral lists this ribosomal RNA (484 nucleotides) under uncultured bacterium. RNAcentral's name for it is "bacterial SSU rRNA". It matches the Rfam family "Bacterial small subunit ribosomal RNA", at positions 28 to 524 of the family's 1533-position model. The record is from RNAcentral.